Non-coding RNA from Arthromyces matolae, 83 nucleotides. The record is from the annotation of a GenBank genome assembly. NCBI's taxonomy places the organism in Eukaryota, Fungi, Basidiomycota, Agaricomycetes, Agaricales, Lyophyllaceae.
GCCCGCCUAGCUCAAUCGGCCAGAGCGUCAGACUUUUACGGAAGGGCAUCUGAAGGCUGCGAGUUCGACCCUCGCGGUGGGCU